This is a non-coding RNA of Sturnus vulgaris (Common starling), 343 nucleotides long. The record is from RefSeq and is a predicted model, not a curated record. NCBI's taxonomy places the organism in Eukaryota, Metazoa, Chordata, Aves, Passeriformes, Sturnidae.
GAGGAGGAGGAGGAGGGCCGGGCCCCUCAGUGAGGAGAGAUGAUGAAGGCUGUCUCCCUGCCUCUCGGGGCUUUUCAGGACGCGCGACUCGGCUUUUUCCAGCGCUAGCAGUCGAAUAAAGUUUAUAAAAUCAAGGCGGAACACCCGCAUGGGUCCCCAGUGGGAGGAGCCUCAGAUCCUGAAGGGAAGAAUCAUUUCCCUUGGGCCUCACGCACCUGAGUAAGGCAAACAAAAAAACCGAAGGUCCAGGUCAUCAGGGAAAUCAGGAAUUCCCCACUCCAGGAACAUCCCCACAGCCACAGCAGGGUCGUCUUCAAGGAGGUGCCGACCCAAAAUCAUCCGG